UACGAGGGGGGCGAGCGUUGUUCGGAAUUAUUGGGCGUAAAGGGUGCGUAGGCGGUUUGGUAAGUCUGAUGUGAAAUCUAUGGGCUCAACUCAUAGUCUGCAUCGGAAACUGCCGGGCUUGAGUGUGGGAGAGGUGAGUGGAAUUCCUGGUGUAGCGGUGAAAUGCGUAGAUAUCAGGAGGAACACCUGUGGCGAAAGCGGCUCACUGGACCAUAACUGACGCUGAGACACGAAAGCGUGGGUAGCAAACAGG
RNAcentral lists this ribosomal RNA (253 nucleotides) under uncultured bacterium. RNAcentral's name for it is "partial 16S ribosomal RNA". It matches the Rfam family "Bacterial small subunit ribosomal RNA", at positions 524 to 776 of the family's 1533-position model. The record is from RNAcentral.